This 1080-nucleotide long non-coding RNA is filed under the name Homo sapiens (human). RNAcentral describes it as "MIR9-3 host gene". Lineage: Eukaryota; Metazoa; Chordata; Mammalia; Primates; Hominidae. The record is from RNAcentral.
CCCUCUUAACUGGGCUCAGGGAGUGGGGCUUGCCCCUGCUCAGUGCGUGGGGGUCCCGGCCCCACACAGUGCUAGGGUCCCUCUCGAGUUUCUCAUCUGCCUUCAGGUCACUUUCCACCCUGAUGCCUUGGCUUGUCCUGAAGCUCAGGGCCCCUGUAGCUUGGGAAACCUCCCAAGCUCCCCAGCGAGUGGCUGUAGACCAAGGAAGGGACCCUGCCCGGCUUCAGGGAAGAAAGGAAGAAAGUUACUCCCCUGCUGGUGCCUCCCUCCUUGGCGCGCUUCCCACCUGCGAUCGGCGCCCUCUUCGCAGUCACGAACUCGCCAGCAGCUAGCAGCACUGACUAGUAGGAGGGCCCGCCGGAGGAGAGGAAGCCCCAGAGAGAUUGGUGAGGGUGAUUUCCCAGGAAGACGCAGUGUGCUCUGACUUCUGUGACAGUGAGCAACGGGACCAGUGGAUGUCCAGAUGCUGGCAAUGAGACAUGCUCUGGAGUCAGAAGACAGCGAAAAGAGAAGCAGAAGCCCCGGUGGCAAGAGUCUGAAGGAAGGAUGACUGUAGCCUGUGGAUUGUACUGCAGUAGGAAACUGUCCUAGCAAGGCUCCACUUUGCCCCAGCUUCAAGCUGGAAAGGAGGAGAACAUGAAACAUUGCUUGAAGACAAUGGCCGAGACAGCAGGUCCCACCCUGCACAGCCACCAGCAUCUCUCCCCUCAGCCCUGUCUCCUCUUCUGCAGUUGGGAUCUGCACAUUUAAGCCUGAAAUUGUCCUGUGAAGUGAAGUAUGAUCGGACAGCCUCUUUUCAGCUUUUAUGACAAUGGAGACAGAGGAAUUGUGGCUCUUGCCAAGGUCACAGGAUUGGAAUACAGAGCCAAGCCACCCCAGGACAUGCAAGAGCCUCAGAAGGGAAAAAAGCCCAGCAGGAAGGGAGAACAAGUAGCCUCUGUCCUGAAGUUGUAACAGCCAGGGGCCAGGAUGGAGGAGGAGGACCCCAUAAUCUGCCCAUCUGGGACUUGGCAGGGGACCUGGGAAAAUGUACCCCAACCCAUCCCUUAAGGGCCUUUGUCUUUGGCCCAUUGGCCUAGC